This 429-nucleotide ribosomal RNA is filed under the name Acidobacteriota bacterium. RNAcentral describes it as "Acidobacteria bacterium partial 16S ribosomal RNA". It matches the Rfam family "Bacterial small subunit ribosomal RNA", at positions 355 to 776 of the family's 1533-position model. Lineage: Bacteria; Pseudomonadati; Acidobacteriota. The record is from RNAcentral.
UGGGGAAUUUUGGACAAUGGGGGAAACCCUGAUCCAGCCAUCCCGCGUGUGCGAUGAAGGCCUUCGGGUUGUAAAGCACUUUUGGCAGGAAAGAAACGUCAUGGGUUAAUACCCCGUGAAACUGACGGUACCUGCAGAAUAAGCACCGGCUAACUACGCGCCAGCAGCCGCGGUAAUACGUAGGGUGCAAGCGUUAAUCGGAAUUACUGGGCGUAAAGCGUGCGCAGGCGGUUCGGAAAGAAAGAUGUGAAAUCCCAGAGCUCAACUUUGGAACUGCAUUUUUAACUACCGGGCUAGAGUGUGUCAGAGGGAGGUGGAAUUCCGCGUGUAGCAGUGAAAUGCGUAGAUAUGCGGAGGAACACCGAUGGCGAAGGCAGCCUCCUAGGAUAACACUGCCGCUCAUGCACGAAAGCGUGGGGAGCAAACAGG